This 430-nucleotide ribosomal RNA is filed under the name uncultured bacterium. RNAcentral's name for it is "partial 16S ribosomal RNA". It matches the Rfam family "Bacterial small subunit ribosomal RNA", at positions 354 to 796 of the family's 1533-position model. The record is from RNAcentral.
GUGGGGAAUAUUGCACAAUGGGCGAAAGCCUGAUGCAGCGACGCCGCGUGCGGGAUGAAGGCCUUCGGGUUGUAAACCGCUUUUAAUUGGGAGCAAGCGAGAGUGAGUGUACCUUUUGAAUAAGCACCGGCUAACUACGUGCCAGCAGCCGCGGUAAUACGUAGGGUGCAAGCGUUAUCCGGAAUUAUUGGGCGUAAAGAGCUCGUAGGCGGUUUGUCACGCCUGGUGUGAAAGUCCAUCGCUUAACGGUGGAUCUGCGCCGGGUACGGGCAGGCUAGAGUGCAGUAGGGGAGAUUGGAAUUCCCGGUGUAACGGUGGAAUGUGUAGAUAUCGGGAAGAACACCAAUGGCGAAGGCAGAUCUCUGGGCUGUUACUGACGCUGAGGAGCGAAAGCAUGGGGAGCGAACAGGAUUAGAAACCCGGGUAGUCC